Molecule: ribosomal RNA, 558 nt
Filed under: Triticum aestivum (bread wheat)
Lineage: Eukaryota; Viridiplantae; Streptophyta; Magnoliopsida; Poales; Poaceae
Description: partial small subunit ribosomal RNA
Source: RNAcentral
AUGGCGGCCUCCGGACACCAGCGUCUGUGCUGCAUGGGCAUGGUGGUGGACGGGCGUGCUCGCAUGUUCCCCGACGGCGCCAUGAAGGCCUACUUCGGCAACGUGCUGACCAUACCGUACGGCGUCAUCGGCACCGACGAACUUCGCCGCAGCAUGACGCUCGCGGACGUGGCGGACGACGUGCACCGGUGGGUGCGGGAGGCCGCGACGGGCGAGCACUUCCGGGGGCUCAUCGACUGGGUGGAGGCGCUGCGGCCCAAGCCGGCCGUUGCCAGGGCGUACCUGGGCGGCACCGGCGGCUCCGAAGCGAUGGCGUGCUUUGUGUCAUCGGGGAUGGGCUUCCCGGUGGGCGAGGCCGAUUUCGGGACGGGUCUGCCGGCGUUCGCGUCAUACCACUUCCCGUGGCCCGCUGACACGGGGUACAUCAUGCCGAUGCCGAGCGCACGCGGGGACGGGGACUGGGUUGUGUACGUCCACGCGGUGCCAGAAUUGGUGAAGGUGAUGGAGGAAGAGCCAUCUGUUUUCAAAGCCCUGGAGAAUAGCUAUGUGUUGGGAUGA